GGAGGUAGAGCACUGUUUGGACGAGGGGCCCCUCUCGGGUUACCGAAUUCAGACAAACUCCGAAUGCCAAUUAAUUUAACUUGGGAGUCAGAACAUGGGUGAUAAGGUCCGUGUUCGAAAGGGAAACAGCCCAGACCACCAGCUAAGGUCCCAAAAUAUAUGUUAAGUGGAAAAGGAUGUGGCGUUGCCCAGACAACUAGGAUGUUGGCUUAGAAGCAGCCAUCAUUUAAAGAGUGCGUAAUAGCUCACUAGUCGAGUGACACUGCGCCGAAAAUGUACCGGGGCUAAACAUAUUACCGAAGCUGUGGAUUGUCCUUUGGACAAUGGUAGGAGAGCGUUCUAAGGGCGUUGAAGCAUGAUCGUAAGGACAUGUGGAGCGCUUAGAAGUGAGAAUGCCGGUGUGAGUAGCGAAAGACGGGUGAGAAUCCCGUCCACCGAUUGACUAAGGUUUCCAGAGGAAGGCUCGUCCGCUCUGGGUUAGUCGGGUCCUAAGCUGAGGCCGACAGGCGUAGGCGAUGGAUAACAGGUUGAUAUUCCUGUACCACCUAUAAUCGUUUUAAUCGAUGGGGGGACGCAGUAGGAUAGGCGAAGCGUGCGAUUGGAUUGCACGUCUAAGCAGUAAGGCUGAGUAUUAGGCAAAUCCGGUACUCAUUAAGGCUGAGCUGUGAUGGGGAGAAGACAUUGUGUCUUCGAGUCGUUGAUUUCACACUGCCGAGAAAAGCCUCUAGAUAGAAAAUAGGUGCCCGUACCGCAAACCGACACAGGUAGUCAAGAUGAGAAUUCUAAGGUGAGCGAGCGAACUCUCGUUAAGGAACUCGGCAAAAUGACCCCGUAACUUCGGGAGAAGGGGUGCUCUUUAGGGUUAACGCCCAGAAGAGCCGCAGUGAAUAGGCCCAAGCGACUGUUUAUCAAAAACACAGGUCUCUGCUAAACCGUAAGGUGAUGUAUAGGGGCUGACGCCUGCCCGGUGCUGGAAGGUUAAGAGGAGUGGUUAGCUUCUGCGAAGCUACGAAUCGAAGCCCCAGUAAACGGCGGCCGUAACUAUAACGGUCCUAAGGUAGCGAAAUUCCUUGUCGGGUAAGUUCCGACCCGCACGAAAGGCGUAACGAUUUGGGCACUGUCUCAACGAGAGACUCGGUGAAAUCAUAGUACCUGUGAAGAUGCAGGUUACCCGCGACAGGACGGAAAGACCCCGUGGAGCUUUACUGUAGCCUGAUAUUGAAAUUCGGCACAGCUUGUACAGGAUAGGUAGGAGCCUUUGAAACGUGAGCGCUAGCUUACGUGGAGGCGCUGGUGGGAUACUACCCUAGCUGUGUUGGCUUUC
Molecule: ribosomal RNA, 1324 nt
Filed under: Staphylococcus aureus
Lineage: Bacteria; Bacillati; Bacillota; Bacilli; Caryophanales; Staphylococcaceae
Description: partial 23S ribosomal RNA
Rfam family: Bacterial large subunit ribosomal RNA
Source: RNAcentral